GAUGAACGCUGGCGGCGUGCCUAAUACAUGCAAGUCGAGCGAACGGACGCGAAGCUUGCUUCUCUGAUGUUAGCGGCGGACGGGUGAGUAACACGUGGAUAACCUACCUAUAAGACUGGGAUCACUUCGGGACACCGGCGCUAAUCCCGGAUAAUAUUUUGAACCGCAUGGUUCAAAAGUGAAAGACGGCGUUGCUGUCACUUCUAGCUGCAUCCGCGCUGCAUUAGCUGGUUGGUAAGUUAACGGCUUACGACGGCAAGGAUGCGUAGCCGACGUGAGUGACUGAUCGCCGACAUUGGAGCUGAGACACGGUCCAGACGCCUACGGGAGGCAGCAGUCGGGAAUCGUCCGCAAUGGGCGAAAGCCUGACGGAGCAACGCGGCGUGAGUGAUGACGGUCCUCGGAUCGUAAAACUCUGUUAUUAGUGAAGAACCUAUGUGUAAGUAACUGUGCACAUCUUGACGGUACCUAAUCAGAAAGCCACGGCUAACUACGUG
This 497-nucleotide ribosomal RNA is filed under the name uncultured bacterium. Its description in RNAcentral is "partial 16S ribosomal RNA". It matches the Rfam family "Bacterial small subunit ribosomal RNA", at positions 28 to 507 of the family's 1533-position model. The record is from RNAcentral.